This 371-nucleotide unclassified non-coding RNA is filed under the name uncultured bacterium. RNAcentral's name for it is "contains 16S-23S intergenic spacer region". The record is from RNAcentral.
UCCUCUUUACAGAGGCAGUUUGUCUCGAGUCCCCGGCAUUAUCCGCUGGUAACAAAACAUGAGGGUUGCGCUCGUUGCGGGACUUAACCCAACAUUUCACAACACGAGCUGACGACAGCCAUGCACCACCUGUGAAGCACCUUCGAAAGCGACUCGCUUUCACGAGCUUGCAGCUCCAUGUCAAGCCCUGGUAAGGUUCUUCGCGUUGCAUCGAAUUAAGCCACAUGCUCCACCGCUUGUGCGGGCCCCCGCCAAUUCCUUUGAGUUUCAACCUUGCGGCCGUAGUCCCCAGGCGGUUCACUUAAUGCGUUAGCUGCGGCACCGAGGGGAACCCCCGACACCUAGUGAACAUCGUUUACGGCGUGGACUAC